GUUCUUGUAGCUUGAGUGCUGGAUCAGGGGAGGUGAAAGGGAUGACUGGUGGUAGUGGUGGAGAGAAUGAGAGCCAGACUGCUAUCGAAGAUGCGUCUAUCCAUCAACAUGAGGAAGAUGCACCUAUCCAUCGACAUUGUGCUGCUGAUGAAUCGUUCACCGAGAGUGGUAUUGAUUUGGCAACGCUGUGUAAGUUUGAGAAGGUGCCUACGAGGACGCGCUCUUCUGUGACUGCUAAAAACACCAAGCUGCAUCUGAGUCAAAAUAUCAAGGAAACCUCUCGUAAUCCUGGAAUUCUAGAAGAAGAUCAAGCAUGUGAGACUCGAGGCAAGUCAUCUGGAGCUGAUAGUACUGGGGAUGAAAAUUUGAACGACCAAGUUGAAGAUUUGCCUCUUGUUCAGUUCGUUGAGGACAGUAAAUGCCAUAGGUCUAAUUCUUUCCCCAAUAGCAUUCUCAGGGAAAAUAACGAGAAAGAUUCAGAGUUAGAAUUGGCUGAUAUCCAUAGAUCAUAUUCGAUGGGGAAAGGAGGCGAGAAGCGAGCUAAUGAAGGCAGUGACUUGGAAGAGGAAGCAAAAAGACAGAAAAGUUGGGUGCCUCUGCCAGUUUCUGAAACCAGUGAUCGAUUCAACGCAUUCAAAGCAAGCGAAAUCCAAAGCGACGAGGAAGAAGAUGACAAGCCAAUCUCAUUCUACAUGAGACGGAUCGAGGGUGCUGAUGGAAAAACCGACAACCUUGAAAGUCUGGCUAAUACAAGCAAUAAUAGUUUACACAGGGGAAAAUCAGGAGCUGGGUAUGCAGAAGAGCAUCAGCUGUUUCCUGCUUCGUUUAAGAUGUGUGACCUAAAUUUAGGGGGAGCGGCGGAUGCUAAUGAUGGCAAAAGAGAAUCUGGUCAAGCUGUUGGUUUUGAUCUAUCAAUCAGCAGUUCUAGCAAGUCUCUUGAUUUCAGUACUAAUACUAGGAUGAGCAAUGGUAAAGAGAUAGAAGUGAUUGAUUUGGACAAUGAUGAUUCCCCAGAAGUGGUCAAGUCCAGCAACAACCCUGGGCGAAAGUACUGCUAUGUCCCUAUCUACACCUAUAUACACACAUGUUUUAAAUAUAUAUUGGCUAAUGAGUUGUUGACUGAAACAUUUAACAGGCAAGAAGUUUGUGGAUGUUUUGGCUCCUGCCGCUGAUAAAAGGAGGUAUGUCGAUGGGUAUAACUCAGCUGGCUCUAGGAACAAUUUGGGAGGAAAGAGGUCUAAUCGUUAUGAAUCGGAUUUUGGGAGGAGUGGAUCUUGGUCUGAGAGGAGUAAAGGUUACGAGGCCGAGACUGGUGACGACUCUGUGUCUGGGCAUAGAGAAGAGCAGCCGCUAGUUGAAGAUAUUGCUAGCUCGGUUCAGAGGUCAGCCUCUGGUGAAUUUAUGAGAAAGCGUGAAGGAGCGGGUGAUUCCGAGUCUGUGUUGGACAAGGAUGAGGCACAGUCUAAGACAGGUUCCUCCAGUGCUGGGAAAGAAAUUGUACAGGAUUGUGAGAUCUCAAAAGUGUCCGAAGGUUCUUGUAGCUUGAGUGCUGGAUCAGGGGAGGUGAAAGGGAUGACUGGUGGUAGUGGUGGAGAGAAUGAGAGCCAGACUGCUAUCGAAGAUGCGUCUAUCCAUCAACAUGAGGAAGAUGCACCUAUCCAUCGACAUUGUGCUGCUGAUGAAUCGUUCACCGAGAGUGGUAUUGAUUUGGCAACGCUGUGUAAGUUUGAGAAGGUGCCUACGAGGACGCGCUCUUCUGUGACUGCUAAAAACACCAAGCUGCAUCUGAGUCAAAAUAUCAAGGAAACCUCUCGUAAUCCUGGAAUUCUAGAAGAAGAUCAAGCAUGUGAGACUCGAGGCAAGUCAUCUGGAGCUGAUAGUACUGGGGAUGAAAAUUUGAACGACCAAGUUGAAGAUUUGCCUCUUGUUCAGUUCGUUGAGGACAGUAAAUGCCAUAGGUCUAAUUCUUUCCCCAAUAGCAUUCUCAGGGAAAAUAACGAGAAAGAUUCAGAGUUAGAAUUGGCUGAUAUCCAUAGAUCAUAUUCGAUGGGGAAAGGAGGCGAGAAGCGAGCUAAUGAAGGCAGUGACUUGGAAGAGGAAGCAAAAAGACAGAAAAGUUGGGUGCCUCUGCCAGUUUCUGAAACCAGUGAUCGAUUCAACGCAUUCAAAGCAAGCGAAAUCCAAAGCGACGAGGAAGAAGAUGACAAGCCAAUCUCAUUCUACAUGAGACGGAUCGAGGGUGCUGAUGGAAAAACCGACAACCUUGAAAGUCUGGCUAAUACAAGCAAUAAUAGUUUACACAGGGGAAAAUCAGGAGCUGGGUAUGCAGAAGAGCAUCAGCUGUUUCCUGCUUCGUUUAAGAUGUGUGACCUAAAUUUAGGGGGAGCGGCGGAUGCUAAUGAUGGCAAAAGAGAAUCUGGUCAAGCUGUUGGUUUUGAUCUAUCAAUCAGCAGUUCUAGCAAGUCUCUUGAUUUCAGUACUAAUACUAGGAUGAGCAAUGGUAAAGAGAUAGAAGUGAUUGAUUUGGACAAUGAUGAUUCCCCAGAAGUGGUCAAGUCCAGCAACAACCCUGGGCGAAAGUACUGCUAUGUCCCUAUCUACACCUAUAUACACACAUGUUUUAAAUAUAUAUUGGCUAAUGAGUUGUUGACUGAAACAUUUAACAGGCAAGAAGUUUCCCCCUAUAUGGGCAUUGAUGAUGUUCCAGACUACAAUGAAGGGCUGAUGAUGGUAGAGUAUCUUGAUUCGUUUGGAAACGGUCCUCCAAUGAACAACCCGGGAAUCAGUACUACGGUGCCACAGAUCAAUGACGUUGGCCUUCAAGACCGAGAGGUAGUCACUCUACUUGUCAAGUGUUUUAGUCGCAUAGAAUGUUUUUUUUUUGUGCUAACUGAAUACGUCGCAGGGAGCUCUUGGAAAUGACCAAGCAGCAAAUAAUACAGACGACGAUUCAAUAUUCAUGUCGCUGGGAGAAAUACCAUUGAGUAAGGGCUCAUCAUCAGUUUUAACAUUACGAUUGUUUCUUUCUCUUUAGUAGUAGCUUAUUAAAGAGGUUGAUUAUUGAUGUUGUGUGUGUUGCAGCAUUCUUGCAAACUUGGGACCAACCUCCGGCUAGAGGCUACGAGAAGCCUUUCUGAUACGCCUUUUUUUUUUGUGUUACUAAUAUUAUUAUUAUUAUGAUAUACAUGUCUAUGUACUGGAGUGUGUAGCCAUUGCAUUUGUCCUAAUCCCUCUCAGAUGUAAGAUUAAAAACGACAUUAGUGUGUGUUAUGGUUGUGGCCUUGUAAUUCUGUGUUUGUUAUUGAUGCAUGUCCUUUCUUUUAGCCUUUUAGGUGUAGUUGAAUCAUUCACCCCCAACAUUUUCUUACAUGUAAGUAAUAAAACCGCAAGCCCAGUGGCAUGAUAUUUAUACGCAUGUGUUUAAACGAUAUUUAACAUGAUAAACAUGAAUGCUUAUCAAACCUAAUGUGACUCCCUAGGCAAUUCAGCAAUUCCGGGAGAUCGGAAAGGAACCGAUACCACAACAUCACGAAGGAGCCAAUGACAUAAGCUCACCUCUCUCAGAGAUUAUAACCCUGGUGAGCAACGUUGAAAAGCUGGAGAAUCAAGCUUGAAGAAACAAGGUCUAUGCUUGAAACCACUGGAACCAUCAACAAGAGAGCAUGUAAGAUCACUUCAUGUUUCCUUAUACAGUCAGUGUUGCUUCUAACAGUAGUUUCGGUGUUCAUGUCUCAAUUGUUACCAGAGUCUUCUGAUAUUGCUAUACCCACAUGAACAUGACCCUUUUGGUUAUUUUUAUCAAACUCUGUUCAUUUCUUUUGGCUUUACACAGUUCUUGUUAACAUUUAUGGUUACAGAAUCAAAAGAUAAGUUUAUUUUGUUGGUAUGAUACUACUUUUCAUUGUUAACACGCUAAACCAACACUAGAAAAGCCAACACGGCGGUUGCGGCAGAGACCACCAGCGUGAUGUAAUGAGGAGCGGCUGAAACGCGAGGUGGAGAAGGGCAAACGAGUCCCACUUUCGUUUCUUUGCACUCGCUGGCGAAAAGGCCAAGUGGAUAGUUACCAUGAACGGUGAUGUAGCUGAACAUUACCUUGGCACAGUCAGUAUUCAAGUCGUUGAUUUGAUGUGCGUAAGGGCAUGCAAACUGUUUAAACGCCGCGCAACAUUCUGUCGCUGGAUACGUCGGACCUCUACACUGUCUCGUUAGAUCCGUGUAGUUUUUACUCUCAAAGUCCACUUCACAUUCUGUUCCCAACACAAACAAAAAAAGUGUACAAUGUUCACUAUUUAUGUCAUAGUCCUCACCAAGCCAAGCUAUACAUAGACCAAACAAAAAGACUUCAAUAUACAUUAACAUUUAAAAGUGAUAAAAGUACUAGCUCUUGAAAACAAAUUCAACUAAAAGCAUAUUUGCUUUUGUAUUCUUUUUUCUUUGUUAAUAACUCUGGUUUUAAAUUGGUUAGAGCAUCUACAUUGGUGGUCUUUCACCAAAAUUCUCAAGAUUAAAUAAAUAAAUAUAAAUAAAAAGAGAAAGAAAGCAUUUUUUUCGUAAAAAUACUACAAGUUUUUGAGAAUUUGUUCUUGUAGUUGUAACAAAAUGAAUAUAUAACACUAAUCUUGUGAAAUACAUGUCCUAUUGUAAAUAAUAUGUAUUUUAAAAUAUUAAAAUUUAUUUUUUAAAGAAUUCUCGACCCGAUAACUAUGUUCUUAUGUUAUCAAAAAGAUGUAGAUGAGUAUAUAUAUACACACUUACAUAUAUAUAUAUAUAUAAUAGAAACUAGCAGUAAAUCAUCAGAUCUAACCAACAUAUUCAGUGGAUCAAAACGUUUUCUCAAUAUACAUACGUUUUUUGGCAUUAAGUAAGUUCCUUCCACUAAUCGAUGUUUGAGAUUUGAACACAAUAUCUACAGUAAGCAAACACAACAGAUUAUCACUGUUAUCUCUAAAACAAAUUUGAGGGAAAAUAGAGAACACAUAAAACAUACUUGAUAAGGAAUUUGAAGAUGAGAGAGUCACCAAUAAUGCUAUCAGAAGGAAAAAUAGUUUUACCUCCAUGAAACAAAAGGUUAAAAACUAAAUAAAAAACUUUAAGAAAAGAGUUAUGGUGAAACCAAACAACGGAAAGACAAAGAACAUAUCAGAUAUUAAUUUCUUCAAAAUGUAAACGGUUGUAAUUGUUUAAAAAACGUAAAGAUUAAUUAAAUAAUUAAAUAUAAACAACCAAAACUAUAAAAAGAAAAAACAUACCUCACUAGACAAAUAUCUAAUCAUUUCAAAAGAUCCCUUCCAUUUUGAGAUGAAAACACUUUCAAACAAACUUAUGAUAAAGUAUUUUCUACUAGUGUAAUAUCCAUUGGAGACAAACUUUAUAGAUCUGCAAAAUAAGUAAAUUUGAAAUUGUAAAAAUGUAACUGUUCAUUGUCUUUUUUGUGUCAAAUUUUAUUUGUGAGAGUUAAUCAAGAUGCAGUCCUUAAAAGGAGUAUCAUCUGCAUUGCAUUACAAAAUCAUACAAAUCCCAAGAGCAUUAAGAAGAUUACUGUCUUGCCUAUAAAGACCAUUUUCGAUUUUCAAAACCCACCGAAAACAUGUGGAUUCCACAAGUUUAGACACUCUUGGGUCUCACAGUUAAAAGUAUGAAUAAUACAAUUAAUGAAGGGAUUCAACAGAGUUUGUUUUGUUGUUAUCUUUAAGUUAAAAAAUAUUAGCUCUAAUAUUUAUGUAUUGUGUUUUUGUGCACAAUUUAUGUAUUGUGAUUGAUUCUUUUUUAGAUGUAAAAUGCUAAGAAUGUUCACAAUUUAAAUUGGGUGCAGUGAUACAUAUUAGAAUGUUAUAUGGAUCAUCAAAGAAAUAUUUAAUAUUUAAAGAUUGUAACAUAAAUCCAUAUGAUAAUUAUUUUAACUGUACAAAGUGCUAAUAAGUUGAAAGAGUUUACUUAGAGUAACAUUUGUUCCCAGCAAGAUGAUAUAAAACAAACAAAGAAACUACUUCAUUUCUCAAAAGUGAUCUUCUAUACUUAAACGUGAUGAUUAUAGAAAGGGGAAGAGAUUGUUUUGUUUUUGUGUUUUUUUUUCUUUUUUAAUCCUGGCAUCUUCUUUCACUUUUUCAUUACUAAGUUGAUCUAUAAAUUUCUUGUAGCAUAAAGGUUCAAAAUUCCAUGUUAUAUAUAUAUAAUAAUUAAAUAAAUUCAAGUUAGGAGAAAACUAUAAAACAUACAACACGACUUAUGUAUGCACCUAUGAUUAGCUUACUAUUGAUUUGGACAUUUAUUGACACAUUUAGUGACUAUAUGUUUGUAUGGAAGUGAAUUUUUUCAUGUAUAAAUACUUGUGUAUCUUUUGUUUAUAGCUUAUUUUUACAAGGUACAGUUCUAAAGAUAAAAAUAUGGUAAUGAGAGCAUUAAUUUGUAGUGUGUACAUAUGAUUCAGAGUUUUCAUUAUUCAUUUAUACUCACACAUAUUUUACUAGUUAUGGCAUCUUAGGAGUGAUGAUCGUACUUAUAAGUCCAAAUUAAUAUAUUCUAAAAGAAAGACGUGAAAACAAACUUCUUCGAUUGUAUAAUGUCAUACCAAAUUCCAUCAAUUGAAUCAUUUAUCAUAUAUGGUAAAUGUUAAGCUAAUCCUAUUAAUUAGAAAAACACACGAGUUAAUAGUCAAAAAUUAGAGGUAAGUAAUAUCAUUUCUUUGGUCAAAACUAAUACCAUUGUUUUAAACUAAUUCCAAUUUCCCCAAAAGAUUAAUCAUAUAAUAGUUAAAUAUUAGUGGUAAGUAAUACCAUUUCUUUGGUCAAAACUAAUAACAUGUCUUUUUUUUUUUUUUACAACAAACUAAUAACAUUUCAUUAUUGUAAAUUAAAAAUGUUCAGAAAGUCAAGAAUAGAAUGUUAAAAUAUUAAUUGAUGACGAAUGAAUAAGCGUUUUAUAAAUACUAGAGCCUUUCCCGGGCUACGCAACGCUGUGUAAGUUUGAGAAGGUGCCUACGAGGACGCGCUCUUCUGUGACUGCUAAAAACACCAAGCUGCAUCUGAGUCAAAAUAUCAAGGAAACCUCUCGUAAUCCUGGAAUUCUAGAAGAAGAUCAAGCAUGUGAGACUCGAGGCAAGUCAUCUGGAGCUGAUAGUACUGGGGAUGAAAAUUUGAACGACCAAGUUGAAGAUUUGCCUCUUGUUCAGUUCGUUGAGGACAGUAAAUGCCAUAGGUCUAAUUCUUUCCCCAAUAGCAUUCUCAGGGAAAAUAACGAGAAAGAUUCAGAGUUAGAAUUGGCUGAUAUCCAUAGAUCAUAUUCGAUGGGGAAAGGAGGCGAGAAGCGAGCUAAUGAAGGC
This 7321-nucleotide long non-coding RNA is filed under the name Brassica napus (rape). RNAcentral's name for it is "long non-coding RNA (BNAP_LNC003021)". The record is from RNAcentral. Lineage: Eukaryota; Viridiplantae; Streptophyta; Magnoliopsida; Brassicales; Brassicaceae.